GACGAACGCUGGCGGCGUGCCUAACACAUGCAAGUGGAGCGACGAACCGGGCUUCGGCCCGGGGCCAAGCCGCGAACGGGUGAGUAACACGUGGGUAACCUGCCCUGAUGAUUGGGACAACCCGAGGAAACUCGGGCUAAUACCGAAUGUGCCCUCCGACCAUAAGGUCUGCGGGGAAAGGAAGCUUCGGCCUCCGCAUCGGGAUGGGCCCGCGGCGCAUUAGCUUGUUGGUGAGGUAACGGCUCACCAAGGCGACGAUGCGUAGCUGGUCUGAGAGGACGAUCAGCCACACUGGGACUGAGACACGGCCCAGACUCCUACGGGAGGCAGCAGUGGGGAAUCUUGCGCAAUGCGCGAAAGCGUGACGCAGCAACGCCGCGUGGGGAAGACGGCC
This 394-nucleotide ribosomal RNA is filed under the name uncultured bacterium. RNAcentral describes it as "bacterial SSU rRNA". It matches the Rfam family "Bacterial small subunit ribosomal RNA", at positions 28 to 416 of the family's 1533-position model. The record is from RNAcentral.